This 305-nucleotide ribosomal RNA is filed under the name uncultured bacterium. RNAcentral describes it as "bacterial SSU rRNA". It matches the Rfam family "Bacterial small subunit ribosomal RNA", at positions 335 to 658 of the family's 1533-position model. The record is from RNAcentral.
UACCUACGGGGCGCAGCAGUGGGGAAUAUUGCACAAUGGGGGAAACCCUGAUGCAGCGACGCCGCGUGAGUGAAGAAGUAUCUCGGUACGUAAAGCUCUAUCAGCAGGGAAGAAAAUGACGGUACCUGACUAAGAAGCCCCGGCUAACUACGUGCCAGCAGCCGCGGUAAUACGUAGGGGGCAAGCGUUAUCCGGAUUUACUGGGUGUAAAGGGGGCGCAGACGGCAAUGCAAGCCAGGAGUGAAAGCCCGGGUCCCAACCCCGGGACUGCUCUUGGAACUGCAUGGCUGGAGUACAGGAGGGGC